RNAcentral lists this ribosomal RNA (253 nucleotides) under uncultured bacterium. RNAcentral describes it as "partial 16S ribosomal RNA". It matches the Rfam family "Bacterial small subunit ribosomal RNA", at positions 524 to 776 of the family's 1533-position model. The record is from RNAcentral.
UACGGAGGGGGGUAGCGUUGUUCGGAAUUACUGGGCGUAAAGCGCACGUAGGCGGAACAGAAAGUCAGAGGUGAAAUCCCAGGGCUCAACCUGGGAACUGCCUCUGAUACUGCUGGUCUUGAGGUCGAGAGAGGUGGGUGGAAUUCCGAGUGUAGAGGUGAAAUUCGUAGAUAUUAGGAGGAUCACCCGUGGCGAAGGCGGCCCACUGGGUCAGAACUGACGCUGAGGUGCGAAAUCGUGGGGAGCAAACAGG